Molecule: unclassified non-coding RNA, 1002 nt
Filed under: Hevea brasiliensis (rubber tree)
Lineage: Eukaryota; Viridiplantae; Streptophyta; Magnoliopsida; Malpighiales; Euphorbiaceae
Source: RNAcentral
GAUCUUUGGGAGCAAAGCAGGUGCCCACAAAGGGGACAGAAGCUAAGGUUUCCUAUUCUAUGACUCCUCAAAAGGAGAAUGCAGGGUAAUGUUUUGGAUUCUCUACUAUGUAUGAAUGCAUUUUCCACUGCCUGCAUGCAUUUGUGCAGUUAUGUAAUAGUUGUAUUGGUCUUGUUCAUUGAUGUUGCAUUUAUUUAUGUGUCUGGAAAUGUUCACUUCCAUUUAGCUUUGAAGUUUAGUUUACUCUUUAUUUAACAAUAGAAAUAUGGAAGGAAAUUAAAUUGAGUGUUAAAAAGCCCAAAUGGGGAGUAUAUUUAUUCUUUUCAGGAAAUAUGCAUUUUGAUUUUUGUUUUCUUGUUAAAUGGUUUUCAUUUACAAACUUUUGCCUUCUUGUAAGUCUGAACUUUAGUCAAUGUGUUAUUUACCUUAUUUCUAUUUUAUGUCACCAGUACCAAUUAGGUAGCUUUUAAUGUAAUCUAGACUCAGUUAUCUGUACAAUAACCUGAGAAUCUCAACAGCCCUCUCCCUCAAUUGGUGUUACCUCCUUUUUUCAAACCCAUGAAUAUGGAAGGUCAUCCUCUUGCCGUCUAUAAAUGGCUCAUUCCAAUUCAUCAUCUCAAUAUUCCUUUUACUUAUGCUCAUUUAUGGAUGUGCUACAAAUCAUGAAUAGCUAUGUACUAUGAAGCAAUUCAUGGAAAGUUUCCUGCAACUUACAGGUCUGCUCGACAGACAAAAUUUAACACUCACAUCUUUACAUAAUUUAUAUAGUCAUCAUAAAUUAAUAAUGCAGACAAGGCUUUGAAUCAAUGUAUUGUAGUGCCCCUAAGCUAAUACAAACACCAAAAAGAUUGCUUCUGACUUCCUUUUCUACUGAGUUCAGAGUUGCAUUGAAUGUUUUUGAUAUUUCUUUCAAAGCUGCCAGUAUGGAUAAAAAAAUUGGCAAGGCAGGCCCGUCUUCUUUUGGCUUGAAAAGUGAUAAAAGGGCAGAGAAAAGGAAAGAGU